RNAcentral lists this ribosomal RNA (484 nucleotides) under uncultured bacterium. Its description in RNAcentral is "partial 16S ribosomal RNA". It matches the Rfam family "Bacterial small subunit ribosomal RNA", at positions 30 to 507 of the family's 1533-position model. The record is from RNAcentral.
AUUGAACGCUGGCGGCAUGCCUUACGCAUGCAAGUCGAACGGCAGCACGGGAGUAAUCCUGGUGGCGAGUGGCGAACGGGUGAGUAAAGCAUCGGAACGUGCCCAGUCGUGGGGGAUAACGUAGCGAAAGCUACGCUAAUACCGCAUACGAUCUGUGGAUGAAAGCGGGGGACCGUAAGGCCUCGCGCGAUUGGAGCGGCCGAUGUCAGAUUAGGUAGUUGGUGAGGUAAAGGCUCACCAAGCCGACGAUCUGUAGCUGGUCUGAGAGGACGACCAGCCACACUGGGACUGAGACACGGCCCAGACUCCUACGGGAGGCAGCAGUGGGGAAUUUUGGACAAUGGGCGCAAGCCUGAUCCAGCAAUGCCGCGUGCAGGAUGAAGGCCUUCGGGUUGUAAACUGCUUUUGUACGGAGCGAAAAGGCUUCCACUAAUACUGGGGGCUCAUGACGGUACCGUAAGAAUAAGCACCGGCUAACUACGUG